ACCUCGUUUGUGUUUUACAAUACCCCCUCAAAACCUUGUGAAGACACAUGCAAAUGUUCACGUUAUACCAGAGCAUGCAGAGCAUAGAUCACCGGGGAGAAGAGAACCCGAAUCCUCAAAAAAUAAACUGCGAAGCAACGCUAAGACUUUAACCGAAACCGUGAACUCAAAACGUCUCAAAUCAACAAACAAAGCAGCUGUAUCGACGAGUGGUG
Molecule: non-coding RNA, 215 nt
Organism: Lepisosteus oculatus (spotted gar)
Lineage: Eukaryota; Metazoa; Chordata; Actinopteri; Semionotiformes; Lepisosteidae
Source: RefSeq, a predicted model, not a curated record